UACGGGGGGGGCAAGCGUUGUUCGGAAUUACUGGGCGUAAAGGGUUUGUAGGUGGCCAACUAAGUCAGACGUGAAAUCCCUCAGCUUAACUGGGGAACUGCGUCUGAGACUGGAUGGCUUGAGUGCAGGAGAGGAACGCGGAAUUCCAGGUGUAGCGGUGAAAUGCGUAGAUAUCUGGAGGAACACCGGUGGCGAAGGCGGCAUCCUGGACCGACACUGACACUGAGGAGCGAAAGCCAGGGGAGCAAACGGG
RNAcentral lists this ribosomal RNA (253 nucleotides) under uncultured bacterium. Its description in RNAcentral is "partial 16S ribosomal RNA". It matches the Rfam family "Bacterial small subunit ribosomal RNA", at positions 524 to 776 of the family's 1533-position model. The record is from RNAcentral.